GAUGAACGCUAGCUACGGGCUUAACACAUGCAAGUCGAGGGGCAGCAUGGUCUUAGCUUGCUAAGGCCGAUGGCGACCGGCCCACGGGGGAGUGAGACGUAUCCAACCUGCCGUCUACUCUUGGACAGCCUUCUGAAAGGAAGAUUAAUACAAGAUGGCUUCCUGAGUCCACAUGUUCACCUGAUUAAAGGUAUUCCGGUAGACGAUGGGGAUGCGUUCCUUUAGAUAGUAGGCGGGGUAACGGCCCACCUAGUCUUCGAUGGAUAGGGGUUCUGAGAGGAAGGUCCCCCACAUUGGAACUGAUACACGGUCCAAACUCCUACGGGAGGCAGCAGUGAGGAAUAUUGGUCAAUGGGCGAGAGCCUGAACCAGCCAAGUAGCGUGAAGGAUGACUGCCCUAUGGGUUGUAAACUUCUUUUAUAAAGGAAUAAACUCGGGUAUGCAUACCCGUUUGCAUGUACUUUAUGAAUAAGGAUCGGCUAACUCCGUGCCAGCAGCCGCGGUAAUACGGAGGAUCCGAGCGUUAUCCGGAUUUAUUGGGUUUAAAGGGAGCGUAGAUGGAUGUUUAAGUCAGUUGUGAAAGUUUGCGGCUCAACCGUAAAAUUGCAGUUGAUACUGGAUAUCUUGAGUGCAGUUGAGGCAGGCGGAAUUCGUGGUGUAGCGGUGAAAUGCUUAGAUAUCACGAAGAACUCCGAUUGCGAAGGCAGCCUGCUAAGCUGCAACUGACAUUGAGGCUCGAAAGUGUGGGUAUCAAACAGGAUUAGAUACCCUGGUAGUCCACACGGUAAACGAUGAAUACUCGCUGUUUGCGAUAUACAGCAAGCGGCCAAGCGAAAGCGUUAAGUAUUCCACCUGGGGAGUACGCCGGCAACGGUGAAACUCAAAGGAAUUGACGGGGGCCCGCACAAGCGGAGGAACAUGUGGUUUAAUUCGAUGAUACGCGAGGAACCUUACCCGGGCUUAAAUUGCAGAUGAAUUACGGUGAAAGCCGUAAGCCGCAAGGCAUCUGUGAAGGUGCUGCAUGGUUGUCGUCAGCUCGUGCCGUGAGGUGUCGGCUUAAGUGCCAUAACGAGCGCAACCCUUGUUGUCAGUUACUAACAGGUUCCGCUGAGGACUCUGACAAGACUGCCAUCGUAAGAUGUGAGGAAGGUGGGGAUGACGUCAAAUCAGCACGGCCCUUACGUCCGGGGCUACACACGUGUUACAAUGGGGGGUACAGAGGGCCGCUACCACGCGAGUGGAUGCCAAUCCCCAAAACCUCUCUCAGUUCGGACUGGAGUCUGCAACCCGACUCCACGAAGCUGGAUUCGCUAGUAAUCGCGCAUCAGCCACGGCGCGGUGAAUACGUUCCCGGGCCU
This 1358-nucleotide ribosomal RNA is filed under the name uncultured bacterium. Its description in RNAcentral is "bacterial SSU rRNA". It matches the Rfam family "Bacterial small subunit ribosomal RNA", at positions 28 to 1381 of the family's 1533-position model. The record is from RNAcentral.